This 69-nucleotide microRNA precursor is filed under the name Paramuricea clavata. The record is from RNAcentral. Lineage: Eukaryota; Metazoa; Cnidaria; Anthozoa; Malacalcyonacea; Plexauridae.
GUUUGAUUGGAAUUCUGUGACUUGUUAUUCCUUGUUCCUGCAUAACAAGUCACAGAAUUCCAAUCAAAC